Molecule: long non-coding RNA, 731 nt
Filed under: Podarcis lilfordi (Lilford's wall lizard)
Lineage: Eukaryota; Metazoa; Chordata; Lepidosauria; Squamata; Lacertidae
Source: RNAcentral
GCACCAAAUCAAAACGGACAUCUGGAAAUGACUCUAGAGGCUUUAUUUUAGAAGGCGACUACUAUGAUAAUGAAAAAUUAAUAGCAUUUCAAGUUUAGCAGUGGAGAUUUGAUCCCUUGUUCAGUUUUAUUCAAGUGGUUUUUGCCACUGCUUUGCCAAAUAACUUGUUUUGCUGGCACAUAUGGUUCACUUAUAGCUUUAGUAAAAUAGGGGAAAACACUGAAAUACCACAGCAAAAGUAAUUUUCCAAUAUAUUUUAAAACUACACAGGCUUAGUUAGAACAGCCACACAUUAACAGAGGCUUAAAAUAAGAUCUGCUAUGAUCACUAAAUAGAAGAAGCAUAGAAUUAUUUGUACUGACUGCUUAAAAGUGCAUAAGAAAUUAUAGGUGAAGAAUGACUUUUCUAACACCCUGCUGUCAUAUGAACGAAAGCAGUAAGAAUGUUUAGAGGCAGAAAUGCAGUACAGGAAGACAAGUUUAACAAGAGUAAAUUAGAUGCAGGCGAUAGAUAUCCCCAGUAUUAGGGUAGACUUUGUGGAUUUCUGCUGUCCCACAGCACAUUCUUGAGUGUUCGCCCCAUGCUUCCUUGUUUUUUAAAAUGUAUUUUGACUCAGUGUGCAUAGAUGCCCUUGACUGGGCCAUGCUCCCACAAGACGCACUGGGUGGGGCAGGAGCCCAUGUUAUCUUGGGAGAAGAUACUCUCUGGGUCACAUGUGGUUGGCCCCCCUC